Molecule: long non-coding RNA, 1812 nt
Organism: Melopsittacus undulatus (budgerigar)
Lineage: Eukaryota; Metazoa; Chordata; Aves; Psittaciformes; Psittaculidae
Exons: 3
Source: RefSeq, a predicted model, not a curated record
CCCUCACGGUUUCCCCUAUGACCAUGCUCUGCGCUCUGCGUCACCUCCGUGCCACAGCCAGAACUACUGCAGGCGGAAGCAGUGGGAGAUUGACACCGCCCCCACCCCCUCCCUUCCAGUCAGCAACGCGGUGGCUACGUGACGCACAGAAUCACUCAGCACGGAAGGCAGACGUGGGAGCUGGAGAAUGGCCGCAAACCAAUCCCCGCCGCUUUAAGCUCUCUGGUCCCUCCACAUCCGGGAGGGGGCAGAGUCACAUCGGACAAGGACCGGAAGAACCUCCCCCGGAGCCGAUCCCUGCCUUCCACCCUACAACGUGGGCCUGCUCUUGGCGCCAGCCUUGUGGAGCGCCCUCAAAGCCUCCACUGUGGCCAUGCUCUGCGUCACUUACACACUGCAGCCACAGCUACUGCGGGCAGAAGCAGGAGGAGAUUGACACCGCCCCCACCCCCUCCAUUCCAGUCAGCAACGCGGUGACAACGUCAUGCACGGAAGGACUCAGCACAGAAGGCGGAUGUGGGAGCUGGAAAAUGGCCGCCUGGCCUGGGAGCUCAGCUGCCCCAGGGAGCCAUCGCUGGAGCCAAGGACAAGCCCCACUGUAGCAGAAGUGAUUUCAACCAGACUCCACAUGGAUGAGACCCUGCAGAGCUCAGUCCCUCCUUGCAGAAGACUUUGCAGUAGAGGACCUAAUGAUCUUGAACAGCUGGAAAUAACUGGAAACACCACCACACUGGCCAGACCAUCUGCCCGGAGAACCUACAAACAGGAUCAACAGCAUCUAGUGAUGUAGCCGUCAACUGUGGCAUAAUCAGGCUCACCUGAAAGAGAAAGCACAAAAUAAUUAGGUCUGCUUAUGAGAAAUGCUCAUUACAAGAUUCUGCACAGGACGGAAACACUGGCCACCUGUGUUAAAGGGAUGGAAGGCAAUGGUGGACGAGGCUGAAAGAGAUGUCUUGAUUCUAUGAUUCUAUGGUUUGCUGAAAAACCAAGGCCUUUCACCAAGUUCCAUCACUAAAGUGUCACUGCAAAUUAUAUAGCUCAUGGUGUUGAAUCAGGCAAAGGGCCAAACUGCAGAGACUGGGGGGAUCCCAAGUUUGGACAUCAUUAAGCUCCAGAUAUGACUAUACUCAGGGCUUUGAUCAGAACUUCUCCUUAGUGAAACCUUGCCUCCAGAGUCAGACUCCAGCUUCCCAGGUUCUUUCAGGGGGGACAGGACUUCUCCUAAACCAUUCUCUUUAGAGAGCUAAAGCUCAUGAUCUGAUGGGGAAGAGCAAAAGCAGAGAGACCUGAUACCAAGGAACAUCAUAGUGGGGUAACAUGAAGCCAGAGGGCACUGCAGAAAUAGUUGAUCCAUUCACACUCCUGGGUCUCAAAGAACUGAAAUGACACAGACAAAACAGCCCUAACAUCUGUGAGAAGAGAGCAAAUCUCCUCUAUUCUGAUCUCUUCUCAUCCCACUGCAAAGAUCUCUGUCCACAGCAAGGAGCAGGUGAUGUUGGUCUUCUGCAGGAAACAUGGUAACUAACCAUGAGUCAUAGAAUCAUAGAACCAACUAGGUUGCAAAACACCUGGUCCAGAGAAGAAGUCAUCCCUUUGCACACCCACGUACUUCAAAGAUGAGCAUUAAGUUCUGGAAGGUCUGCAGGGCCAAUGUGGAAGGGGUCACUCAGUACACCAGUACCUCUGGGGAGAUGAAGCCAGCUUCCUAAGGGCACUGCAUGUUCCUUGGUACCCCACCCAUGGUCCUGCAGUCCCAGCUGACUUCUCUCCCUCAACUAUUGUGCAAUAAAAAAGCAUUGGGGAUCUAUGAAA